UAGGGAAUCUUCCACAAUGGACGCAAGUCUGAUGGAGCAACGCCGCGUGAGUGAAGAAGGUUUUCGGAUCGUAAAGCUCUGUUGUUGGUGAAGAAGGAUAGAGGCAGUAACCGGUCUUUAUUUGACGGUAAUCAACCAGAAAGUCACGGCUAACUACGUGCCAGCAGCCGCGGUAAUACGUAGGUGGCAAGCGUUGUCCGGAUUUAUUGGGCGUAAAGCGAGCGCAGGCGGAAUGAUAAGUCUGAUGUGAAAGCCCACGGCUCAACCGUGGAACUGCAUCGGAAACUGUCAUUCUUGAGUGCAGAAGAGGAGAGUGGAACUCCAUGUGUAGCGGUGGAAUGCGUAGAUAUAUGGAAGAACACCAGUGGCGAGGCGGCUCUCUGGUCUGCAACUGACGCUGAGGCUCGAAAGCAUGG
RNAcentral lists this ribosomal RNA (416 nucleotides) under uncultured bacterium. Its description in RNAcentral is "partial 16S ribosomal RNA". It matches the Rfam family "Bacterial small subunit ribosomal RNA", at positions 355 to 764 of the family's 1533-position model. The record is from RNAcentral.